RNAcentral lists this ribosomal RNA (426 nucleotides) under uncultured prokaryote. Its description in RNAcentral is "bacterial SSU rRNA". It matches the Rfam family "Bacterial small subunit ribosomal RNA", at positions 355 to 774 of the family's 1533-position model. The record is from RNAcentral.
UCGAGAAUUUUUCUCAAUGGGCGAAAGCCUGAAGGAGCGACGCCGCGUGGGGGAUGAAGGGCUUCGGCUCGUAAACCCCUGUCAUUUGCGAACAAACCUUUGCAUUGAACAGAUGCAAAGCUGAUAGUAGUGAAAGAGGAAGGGACGGCUAACUCUGUGCCAGCAGCCGCGGUAAUACAGAGGUCCCAAGCGUUGUUCGGAUUCACUGGGCGUAAAGGGUGCGUAGGUGGCGGAAUAAGUUUGAUGUGAAAUCUCCGGGCUUAACCUGGAAAAGGCAUUAAAUACUGGUUGGCUGGAGGGUUGGAGGGGGGACUGGAAUUCUCGGUGUAGCAGUGAAAUGCGUAGAUAUCGGGAGGAACACCAGUGGCGAAAGCGAGUCCCUGGACAACUCCUGACACUGAGGCACGAAAGCUAGGGGAGCAAACA